UCAUAUCUAGGAGGAUCAUAUCUAAAGGAGCUACAGAGGAAGAAGUUAAAUGAUUGGGAAAUUCGGUUUAAAUACUACAGAGGACUAAAAAACUUUAUUUGAUGAUUUAAUGUCUGAAAUGGGAAGUUCAUCAUCUAUUUAUGCAGACGGAGAAAGUACAAGGUCGACUGCUGGACUGGAAAAACAACGACUAAACACCCAAGUUGCAGUAUUUAUCACUUAAUUAAUUUUCUUUUUCUAAAAUGUCAAUUCAGACAAAGAACACCAAAAUGAAUAAGGAAGAAGAAAAUGCCGCAUCAUUGAUUGUGUGAAACAAAUUUUCAAGUGAAUGAUUGUGGGAUUGUUGGAUUUUGAAAGACAGAAAAAAAUGCCAAAAAAAAUCUAAAUUAACAUUGGAGGGUGAUGAGGAUGAGAAAAUUAAAGAAUACAGGCUAUGAUGAAAAUGUUAGAAGCAGGUGCAAACCCAUUUGAUCCAAGAGUACUAGACGCCAUGCUCCCAUACAUGACAAACUAUUAUGGAAAUUCACGUUCAAAGACCCAUUUUAUGGAUGGGAAAGCGAAAAAGCUGUUGAACAAGCUCUUGAGCAAGCUGCAAGGCCAAUAAAUGCUGAUUCAAAAGAGAUCAUUUUCAAAUCUGGAGCCCCUGAAAGUAAUAACACAGCAACCAAAGGUGUUACACAAUUUUACAAAAUAAAAAGAAAUCAUAUAGUGACUACUCAAGCGGAACAUAAUGUGUCCUGGAUUCCUGUUGUGUUCUUGAAGGAGAAAGAUUUGAAGUAGCUUGCCUGCCUGUCCUUCUCAGUGCCAUCAGGCCGACGACUGUGUUGGUCUCGGUAAUGGGCGUAAAUAACGAAAUUGGAGUUCAACAGCCAUUGGCAGAAAUAGUACCGUCUGUCGAAAGGCCAAAUUCUAUUUCAAUUGUGAGGCAGUUCAGGCUGCAAGUAAAAUUCCCAUUUAUGUUGAGGCGAUGUCAAUUGAUCUUAUGACAAUUAGUGGACUUAGGAUUUUGUGGACUUAGUGGACAAGCUUUAUUAUGACCAAAAGGUUCCGUAAUUUGAAUGGGUCUAAGAGCGUCCCCAAGUCAAAAUGGAACUUGGAACAGCGGUUCAAGAUAAAGUCAAUGAUCAAACCAUCGUUGAAACAAAGGCCGAAAAAGAAAGUGUCUUCGAAGAUAUUCCGGAGGGCCGUUUAGGGACUCUUCGUGUUCAUAGAUCGGGGAAAGUAACUUUGCAAAUGGGAGAACAUUCAUUCGUCAUGGAUAGUGCAACGCAAGUUUCCUAUCUACAAGAUCUGAUAUCGGUUGAGGUAAAUGAAGAAUAUUGAAGUUCGAACUUCAGUAUGAUCAAACAGAAUCACAAAACUAUCACAUCGCUUGAUCGACCAGAUAGGUAAAAGCUUAACUCAUGUUAUACGAAAGGGAGAUCCUGAACACUCCUAUCCAGGUUGUGUUAACCUGUCGUUUGCCUAUGUUGAGGGUGAAAAUCUUUUGAUGGCCUUAAAAGAUGUCGCGCUAUCAAGUGGAAAUGCGUGUACUUCAGCGUCGUUACAGCCAUCUUUUGUUUUGCGAGUCAUUGGCGCCGGAAGAAAACUUAGCGCAUUCUUCUAUUCGCUUUGGAAUUGAAGGUUCAAUACCGAAGCUGAGGUUGAUUACACUACGCAAAGGUAUAUUACAUCAAGUUUCGAAACUUCGUGAAAUGAGGUAGGUUUUAAUUAGGCUUAUGCUUCUAAGCUAGCUAUCCAAGUAACAAAAAAAAAACUCAU
Daphnia carinata is the source of this 1761-nucleotide long non-coding RNA. RefSeq lists it as uncharacterized. The record is from RefSeq and is a predicted model, not a curated record. NCBI's taxonomy places the organism in Eukaryota, Metazoa, Arthropoda, Branchiopoda, Diplostraca, Daphniidae. The transcript is spliced from 9 exons.